RNAcentral lists this ribosomal RNA (422 nucleotides) under uncultured Cloacibacterium sp. Its description in RNAcentral is "partial 16S ribosomal RNA". It matches the Rfam family "Bacterial small subunit ribosomal RNA", at positions 355 to 774 of the family's 1533-position model. Lineage: Bacteria; Pseudomonadati; Bacteroidota; Flavobacteriia; Flavobacteriales; Weeksellaceae. The record is from RNAcentral.
UGAGGAAUAUUGGUCAAUGGGUGCAAGCCUGAACCAGCCAUCCCGCGUGAAGGACGACUGCCCUAUGGGUUGUAAACUUCUUUUGUAUAGGGAUAAACCUACCCUCGAGAGGGUAGCUGAAGGUACUAUACGAAUAAGCACCGGCUAACUCCGUGCCAGCAGCCGCGGUAAUACGGAGGGUGCAAGCGUUAUCCGGAUUUAUUGGGUUUAAAGGGUCCGUAGGCGGACUUAUAAGUCAGUGGUGAAAGCCUGUCGCUUAACGAUAGAACUGCCAUUGAUACUGUAAGUCUUGAGUAUAUUUGAGGUAGCUGGAAUAAGUAGUGUAGCGGUGAAAUGCAUAGAUAUUACUUAGAACACCAAUUGCGAAGGCAGGUUACCAAGAUAUAACUGACGCUGAGGGACGAAAGCGUGGGGAGCGAACA